AACGUAAUAUAAUGGAAGUUGCUCGUACUCGGUUAUAGAAACUGAGCAUUAGAGAAGGCGUGUGCAAAUUAGACUUGGGUCUGUGCAGGUUACAAGAAAACAAAACUGUGUUGUCAUCUUCUUGGCUUUACACAUUAUCAUGCAAUCCCAUCUUGAAGCUGGAGGCAUGAGGAGGCCGUGGAAUUAUCAAGGUGAUCGAGCGGGACCCAGUUCUAGAGGGGGAGGGAGAAUCCGGGGUAUUCGGGCAAGGCGCCAUGUACCCUACUCGGCUCGCCACAACCGACCAUGGGGAGCAAAAAUCUCCUCAUAUCAUAGCCCUGAGGAGUGUAAUCAAGAGUCCUCGGAUGAUUCCACACAGCCCCCAAGCCCCCCACCAUCCACCAACCCAAUUCCCACACCAGCGCCUAUUCGACAACCCUCACCGG
Carya illinoinensis is the source of this 425-nucleotide long non-coding RNA. RefSeq lists it as uncharacterized. The record is from RefSeq and is a predicted model, not a curated record. Lineage: Eukaryota; Viridiplantae; Streptophyta; Magnoliopsida; Fagales; Juglandaceae. The transcript is spliced from 3 exons.